AUGAAGUUGAACAUCGCGAACCCCACCACGGGGUGCCAGAAGAAGGUCNNNNNNNNNNNNNNNNNNNNNNNGCGGAACCUUUAUGACAAGAGGAUCUCCCAGGAGGUAGUUGGUGAUCUUCUGGGUGAGGAAUUCAAGGGUUAUAUCUUCAAGAUCAUGGGUGGAUGUGAUAAGCAGGGCUUCCCGAUGAAGCAAGGAGUGCUAACUUCUGGGCGUGUCCGCCUUCUGCUUCACAGGGGCACGCCUUGCUUCCGUGGUUUUGGCAGGCGUAAUGGUGAGCGCAGGAGGAAAUCCGUCCGUGGUUGCAUUGUCAGCCAAGACCUAUCUGUUAUCAACUUGGUGAUUGUCAAGAAGGGUGAGAAUGAUCUGCCAGGCCUUACUGACACUGAGAAGCCCAGGAUGAGGGGACCCAAGAGGGCCUCCAAGAUCAAGAAGCUCUUCAACCUUGGCAAGGAUGAUGAUGUCCGCAGCUAUGUCAACACAUACCGCAGGACCUUCCUUAACAAGAAGGGCAAGAAGGUGAGCAAGGCUCCCAAGAUCCAGCGCCUUGUGACUCCCUUGACACUCCAGAGGAAGCGCGCCAGAAUAGCAGACAAGAAGAAGAGGAUCGCAAAGAAGAAGUCAGAGGCUGCAGAGUACCAGAAGCUGCUUGCACAGAGGCUCAAGGAGCAGAGAGACCGCCGCAGCGAGAGCAUGGCCAAGAGGAGGUCGAAGCUGUCUGCUGCCACCAAGGCUCCUGCUGCCUCUGCCUAA
Molecule: ribosomal RNA, 753 nt
Filed under: Triticum aestivum (bread wheat)
Lineage: Eukaryota; Viridiplantae; Streptophyta; Magnoliopsida; Poales; Poaceae
Description: partial small subunit ribosomal RNA
Source: RNAcentral